UACGUAGGGGGCAAGCGUUGUCCGGAAUCAUUGGGCGUAAAGAGCGCGUAGGCGGCCCGAUAAGUCCGCUGUGAAAGUCAAGGGCUCAACCCUUGAAUGCCGGUGGAUACUGUCGGGCUAGAGUCCGGAAGAGGAGAGUGGAAUUCCCGGUGUAGCGGUGAAAUGCGCAGAUAUCGGGAAGAACACCCGUGGCGAAGGCGGCUCUCUGGGACGGUACUGACGCUGAGACGCGAAAGCGUGGGGAGCGAACAGG
RNAcentral lists this ribosomal RNA (253 nucleotides) under uncultured bacterium. Its description in RNAcentral is "partial 16S ribosomal RNA". It matches the Rfam family "Bacterial small subunit ribosomal RNA", at positions 524 to 776 of the family's 1533-position model. The record is from RNAcentral.